Molecule: non-coding RNA, 372 nt
Organism: Pogona vitticeps (central bearded dragon)
Lineage: Eukaryota; Metazoa; Chordata; Lepidosauria; Squamata; Agamidae
Source: RefSeq, a predicted model, not a curated record
AUAGCGAUUGCAAAAAACUAAUCGUACAGCAGAUUCGUCGUACAAUGAGGUAAUCAAGCGAGGCAUCACUGUACGACAAAAUUACUGUACCAAAUUUAUUCAGACAUUAGGAGCACUAGUUGUGGUGUACUCAUUUUAAAGUUCUCAGCUUACGAUUUAGAGUAUAUAAAAUAACUUCAAAAAAGGAGAGAACCUUGAAUUUAUCUUACUGAAAAGCUGGUACUGUAUAUCUGCACCUUAUGAAACAAAGUAUCUCAGAAAUGCAACUGCAGCCAAAUAGCAGCAGGCACUGUUCUACUGGCUGAUCAGGAUUUCAUUAAAGUGCCUGUCAAACUGUAAUGAAUGUUUCCAAUAAAAUGCCAAAAAAAAAAA